Molecule: long non-coding RNA, 583 nt
Organism: Limulus polyphemus (Atlantic horseshoe crab)
Lineage: Eukaryota; Metazoa; Arthropoda; Merostomata; Xiphosura; Limulidae
Exons: 2
Source: RefSeq, a predicted model, not a curated record
UAAGAUGUAUUUCUUAAUUGUUUUACUGUCAGAUUCUAGAAAAUGGCGACCUGGUGAUCCGUACCUUAGCAUGGGAAGAUCUCGGUGGUUACACAUGUCUGGCCAAAAAUGUGCAUGGAACGGAUAAGACGUUCACUUUUGUCUAUCCAGCCGCUCCUGAAAAGAAGUAGUUGAAUCUGGCCACGAAAUUUCUAUUCCUGAAGUUUUCACAGUCACGUAGCUCCAUCUGUUCAGUUGUUUAUGCAGUGCUUUUAAAAUUAAACAGAAUAUUAAUCUUCUACGUUACCUCUAUUGGAUAGCUUUAUCUAUAAUUAUCUGCUCACAAUGAUAUUCAGAUUUGUCAUAUACAUGUCUUUUCAUUAACUUUCCGUAAAGUUAAAAAUGUAUAUUGUGUUAAUUUUAUAAAUAUGUUAAAUUAAUUUUCAUUUUAGACAUCAGGUCAUGUUCUGGAUUAUUUGUAUUAAUUUAUUUAUGACCCUAAUGAAAUAUUCUGAAGUAUGUAAAUACUAUCUAAAUCUUGUAGUCACGUGAAUUGAUGUGAAAUAAUGGCUGUGGAUUAAAUAAUUUUUCAUCUGCUACUUUA